RNAcentral lists this small RNA (148 nucleotides) under Macaca fascicularis (crab-eating macaque). Its description in RNAcentral is "Metazoan signal recognition particle RNA (ENSMFAG00000055591.1)". The record is from Rfam by way of RNAcentral. Lineage: Eukaryota; Metazoa; Chordata; Mammalia; Primates; Cercopithecidae.
GCUGGGAGUGGUGGUGGUCUCCUGUAAUCCCAGCUACUUGGGAGGCUGAGGCAGGAGAAUUGCUUGAAUCCAGGAGGCCGAGUUUGCAAGGAGCUGAGAUCAUGCUACUGCAUUCCAGCCUGGGUAACAGAGCAAGAUUCUGUCUCAA